This 211-nucleotide ribosomal RNA is filed under the name Helotiales sp. Its description in RNAcentral is "partial large subunit ribosomal RNA". The record is from RNAcentral. Lineage: Eukaryota; Fungi; Ascomycota; Leotiomycetes; Helotiales.
AAGCGCUUGCAAUUAGACUUGCAUAUAGUUGAUCAUCCGAUGUUCUCACCGGUGCACUCAACUGUAUUCAGGCCAGCAUCAGUUUCAGUGGUUGGAUAAAGACCUUAGGAAUGUAGCUUCUUUCGGGGAGUGUUAUAGCUUAGGGUGCAAUGCGACCUACUGAGACUGAGGACAGCGCUUCGGCUAGGAUGCUGGCGUAAUGAUUGCAAGC